This 431-nucleotide ribosomal RNA is filed under the name uncultured Alphaproteobacteria bacterium. RNAcentral's name for it is "bacterial SSU rRNA". It matches the Rfam family "Bacterial small subunit ribosomal RNA", at positions 389 to 840 of the family's 1533-position model. Lineage: Bacteria; Pseudomonadati; Pseudomonadota; Alphaproteobacteria. The record is from RNAcentral.
CAGCGAUGCCGCGUGAGUGAAGAAGGCCCUUGGGUUGUAAAGCUCUUUCGUCGGGGAAGAAAAUGACUGUACCCGAAUAAGAAGGUCCGGCUAACUUCGUGCCAGCAGCCGCGGUAAUACGAAGGGACCUAGCGUAGUUCGGAAUUACUGGGCUUAAAGAGCUCGUAGGUGGUUAAAAAAGUUGGUGGUGAAAUCCCAAGGCUUAACCUUGGAACUGCCACCAAAACUUUUUAACUAGAGUAUGAUAGAGGAAAGUGGAAUUUCUAGUGUAGAGGUGAAAUUCGUAGAUAUUAGAAAGAACACCAAUUGCGAAGGCAGCUUUCUGGAUCAUUACUGACACUGAGGUGCGAAAGCAUGGGUAGCGAAGAGGAUUAGAUACCCUCGUAGUCCAUGCCGUAAACGAUGUGUGCUAGACGUUGGAAAUUUAUUUU